This 432-nucleotide unclassified non-coding RNA is filed under the name Hevea brasiliensis (rubber tree). The record is from RNAcentral. Lineage: Eukaryota; Viridiplantae; Streptophyta; Magnoliopsida; Malpighiales; Euphorbiaceae.
UCCAAGGAUCAACUGGAUCUGCAACCCAGUGCACAAGCACAGAGAACUACGUGGUCUCACUUCAGCUGGUAAGAAAUACAGAGGACUCCGCGGAAGAGGACAUCUCCACCACAAAGCUCGCCCGUCAAGAAGGGCAACCUGGAAAAGGAACCAGACUCUAUCUCUCCGCCGUUACCGUUGAUCUGCUUGACCUUUUUGAGACAUUAUCGUUUUGCUUAAUAUUUUUGCAUUAUCUGGUUUUUAGCCCUUUUAUCUUGAGACAUUACUAUUUACUGUUGUCAGCCUGAGAGAGUUUACUGAAUUAAAACAAUAGAUUGCAGCAAAUUUUGUGUUGAAAGUGUGCAUUUUCUUUGCUUAUAAUAUCUGAUUAAAGUAAUGACUCUAAACAAAUACCAUAGAUGAGUGAUACAUUUAAUAUGUUUUAAAUGAAAA